Molecule: ribosomal RNA, 1520 nt
Filed under: Klebsiella pneumoniae
Lineage: Bacteria; Pseudomonadati; Pseudomonadota; Gammaproteobacteria; Enterobacterales; Enterobacteriaceae
Also listed under: 5 other names
Description: bacterial SSU rRNA
Rfam family: Bacterial small subunit ribosomal RNA
Source: RNAcentral
AGAGUUUGAUCAUGGCUCAGAUUGAACGCUGGCGGCAGGCCUAACACAUGCAAGUCGAGCGGUAGCACAGAGAGCUUGCUCUCGGGUGACGAGCGGCGGACGGGUGAGUAAUGUCUGGGAAACUGCCUGAUGGAGGGGGAUAACUACUGGAAACGGUAGCUAAUACCGCAUAACGUCGCAAGACCAAAGUGGGGGACCUUCGGGCCUCAUGCCAUCAGAUGUGCCCAGAUGGGAUUAGCUGGUAGGUGGGGUAACGGCUCACCUAGGCGACGAUCCCUAGCUGGUCUGAGAGGAUGACCAGCCACACUGGAACUGAGACACGGUCCAGACUCCUACGGGAGGCAGCAGUGGGGAAUAUUGCACAAUGGGCGCAAGCCUGAUGCAGCCAUGCCGCGUGUGUGAAGAAGGCCUUCGGGUUGUAAAGCACUUUCAGCGGGGAGGAAGGCGGUGAGGUUAAUAACCUCACCGAUUGACGUUACCCGCAGAAGAAGCACCGGCUAACUCCGUGCCAGCAGCCGCGGUAAUACGGAGGGUGCAAGCGUUAAUCGGAAUUACUGGGCGUAAAGCGCACGCAGGCGGUCUGUCAAGUCGGAUGUGAAAUCCCCGGGCUCAACCUGGGAACUGCAUUCGAAACUGGCAGGCUAGAGUCUUGUAGAGGGGGGUAGAAUUCCAGGUGUAGCGGUGAAAUGCGUAGAGAUCUGGAGGAAUACCGGUGGCGAAGGCGGCCCCCUGGACAAAGACUGACGCUCAGGUGCGAAAGCGUGGGGAGCAAACAGGAUUAGAUACCCUGGUAGUCCACGCUGUAAACGAUGUCGAUUUGGAGGUUGUGCCCUUGAGGCGUGGCUUCCGGAGCUAACGCGUUAAAUCGACCGCCUGGGGAGUACGGCCGCAAGGUUAAAACUCAAAUGAAUUGACGGGGGCCCGCACAAGCGGUGGAGCAUGUGGUUUAAUUCGAUGCAACGCGAAGAACCUUACCUGGUCUUGACAUCCACAGAACUUUCCAGAGAUGGAUUGGUGCCUUCGGGAACUGUGAGACAGGUGCUGCAUGGCUGUCGUCAGCUCGUGUUGUGAAAUGUUGGGUUAAGUCCCGCAACGAGCGCAACCCUUAUCCUUUGUUGCCAGCGGUUAGGCCGGGAACUCAAAGGAGACUGCCAGUGAUAAACUGGAGGAAGGUGGGGAUGACGUCAAGUCAUCAUGGCCCUUACGACCAGGGCUACACACGUGCUACAAUGGCAUAUACAAAGAGAAGCGACCUCGCGAGAGCAAGCGGACCUCAUAAAGUAUGUCGUAGUCCGGAUUGGAGUCUGCAACUCGACUCCAUGAAGUCGGAAUCGCUAGUAAUCGUAGAUCAGAAUGCUACGGUGAAUACGUUCCCGGGCCUUGUACACACCGCCCGUCACACCAUGGGAGUGGGUUGCAAAAGAAGUAGGUAGCUUAACCUUCGGGAGGGCGCUUACCACUUUGUGAUUCAUGACUGGGGUGAAGUCGUAACAAGGUAACCGUAGGGGAACCUGCGGUUG